This 1026-nucleotide ribosomal RNA is filed under the name uncultured marine bacterium. Its description in RNAcentral is "bacterial SSU rRNA". It matches the Rfam family "Bacterial small subunit ribosomal RNA", at positions 56 to 1129 of the family's 1533-position model. The record is from RNAcentral.
UGCAGUCGAACGAACCUUCGGGUUAGUGGCGGACGGGUGAGUAACGCGUGAGAAUCUGCCCUCAGGAGGGGGAUAACAGCUGGAAACGGCUGCUAAUACCCCAUAUGCCGCGAGGUGAAAUGAAUUUCGCCUGAGGAUGAGCUCGCGUCUGAUUAGCUAGUUGGUGUAGGUAAUGGCUCACCAAGGCAUCGAUCAGUAGCUGGUCUGAGAGGAUGAUCAGCCACACUGGGACUGAGACGCGGCCCAGACUCCUACGGGAGGCAGCAGUGGGGAAUUUUCCGCAAUGGGCGAAAGCCUGACGGAGCAACGCCGCGUGAGGGAUGAAGGCCUCUGGGCUGUAAACCUCUUUUAUCAAGGAAGAAGAUCUGACGGUACUUGAUGAAUAAGCCACGGCUAAUUCCGUGCCAGCAGCCGCGGUAAUACGGGAGUGGCAAGCGUUAUCCGGAAUUAUUGGGCGUAAAGCGUCCGCAGGCGGCCCUUCAAGUCUGCUGUUAAAAAGUGGAGCUUAACUCCAUCAUGGCAGUGGAAACUGAGGGGCUUGAGUGUGGUAGGGGCAGAGGGAAUUCCCGGUGUAGCGGUGAAAUGCGUAGAUAUCGGGAAGAACACCAGUGGCGAAGGCGCUCUGCUGGGCCAUCACUGACGCUCAUGGACGAAAGCCAGGGGAGCGAAAGGGAUUAGAUACCCCUGUAGUCCUGGCCGUAAACGAUGAACACUAGGUGUCGGGGGAAUCGACCCCCUCGGUGUCGUAGCCAACGCGUUAAGUGUUCCGCCUGGGGAGUACGCACGCAAGUGUGAAACUCAAAGGAAUUGACGGGGGCCCGCACAAGCGGUGGAGUAUGUGGUUUAAUUCGAUGCAACGCGAAGAACCUUACCAGGGUUUGACAUCCUGCGAAUCUCUUGGAAACGAGAGAGUGCCUUCGGGAACGCAGUGACAGGUGGUGCAUGGCUGUCGUCAGCUCGUGUCGUGAGAUGUUGGGUUAAGUCCCGCAACGAGCGCAACCCACGUCUUUAGUUGCAGCAUUUAGU